AAAAAACCUAAACCCUACUUAAUGCCGCUGCUCUCACACUUGGCUCUCAGAUAUCGCAAUUCUCUUUAACCUUAGUCGGCUGCUAGGGUUGGCGAAGGAGUCCAAGGGUCACGAUUGAUAUAUAAGGAUGGUGCAAUAUAAUUUUAAGAAAAUUACGGUGGUCCCUAAUGGGAAGGACUUCAUUGAUAUAAUCCUUUCUCGCACACAGAGGCAGACACCAACUGUCGUCCACAAGGGAUAUGCCAUAAACCGACUCCGUCAGUUUUAUAUGCGUAAAGUCAAGUAUACUCAACAGAAUUUUCACGAGAAACUUUCUACUAUCAUUGAUGAAUUCCCUCGCCUAGAUGAUAUCCAUCCAUUCUAUGGUGAUCUUCUUCAUGUUCUCUACAACAAAGACCAUUACAAGCUUGCUCUUGGCCAAGUAAACACUGCAAGGAACGUUAUCAGCAAGAUUGCCAAAGACUAUGUAAAGAUGUUGAAAUAUGGAGAUUCCUUGUACCGAUGCAAGUGUCUGAAGGUUGCUGCUCUUGGGCGUAUGUGCACUGUGAUAAAGAGGAUCGGGCCCAGUUUGGCCUAUUUAGAGCAGAUCAGGCAACACAUGGCAAGGCUGCCUUCAAUUGAUCCUAAUACUCGUACUAUCCUAAUAUGUGGGUAUCCAAAUGUUGGAAAGAGUUCAUUCAUCAACAAGAUCACAAGGGCAGAUGUAGAUGUCCAGCCAUAUGCUUUCACCACAAAGUCGCUAUUUGUAGGACAUACAGACUAUAAGUAUCUUAGAUACCAGGUGAUCGAUACUCCCGGGAUUCUUGAUCGGCCAUUUGAGGAUCGUAAUAUUAUAGAGAUGUGUAGCAUUACAGCUCUGGCUCAUCUGCGAGCUGCUGUGUUGUUCUUCUUGGACAUCUCAGGGUCUUGUGGCUACAGCAUUUCCCAGCAGGCUGCUCUUUUUGACAGCAUCAAGUCUCUUUUUAUGAACAAACCGUUGAUAAUUGUCUGCAAUAAGACUGAUUUGCAGCCUCUGGAAGGGAUUUCAGAGGAAGACAUGAAGUUGGUCAUGGAGAUGAAGGCUGAAGCCACGAAGACUCUGGUAGGUCAAGGAGGUGAGUCCACAGAUGGUGAGGGUGUGUUGCUGACCAUGAGCACUUUGACCGAGGAGGGGGUAAUCUUGGUAAAGAACGCUGCUUGUGAGAGAUUAUUGGAUCAGAGAGUGGAAUUGAAGAUGAAGUCCAAAAAGAUGAAUGAAUGUUUAAAUAGAUUUCAUGUUGCCAUACCAAAGCCACGUGAUCAGAAGGAAAGGCCACCUUGCAUACCUCAGGCUGUUUUGGAAGCUAAAGCCAAGCAAGCAGCAGAGAAGGAGAAGAGGAAAACGGAAAGGGAUCUGGAGGAUGAGAAUGGUGGUGCUGGUGUAUAUGCUGCUAAUUUGAGGAAAAAUUACAUUUUGGCGAAUGAUGAGUGGAAAGAAGACAUCCUACCGGAAAUUCUUGAUGGUCACAAUGUGUAUGACUUUGUGGAUCCUGAUAUCUUACAGAGGCUUGAGGAGUUGGAACAAGAAGAAGGUAUUCGGCAGGCAGAGGAGGAUGAGGAUGAUUUUGAGAUGGAUGGCAAGGAGUUGACCCCAGAAGAGCAAGCAGCACUGGCCGAGAUCAGGAAAAAGAAAAGCUUGCUCAUUCAACAGCAUAGGAUAAAGAAAAGCACUGCAGAGAGUCGGCCAACUGUACCAAGAAAAUUUGACAAGGAUAGGAAAUACACAGCAGAAAGAAUGGGCAGACAACUAUCAGCUUUGGGGCUUGAUCCCUCUCGGGCAAUUAGUCGUUCCCGCAGCAGGGGCCGCAAAAGGGAGAGAUCACGUGACAGGGAAGGAAACAAUGGUGUUGAUGCAAUGGAUGUGGACCAGCCAAACAAGAAGAUGCGUACUAGGUCUAGGUCUAUGUCAAUGUCUAGGUCUAGGUCACGGCCUCCAAGUGAGGUUGUACCAGGAGAAGGAUUCAAGGAUUCUGCACAGAAGGUGAAGGCUAUCAAAAUUGCCAAGAAAUCUGUUAGGAAGAGGAACAAGGAUGCUCGUCGUGGAGAGGCUGACAGAGUUAUUCCUACACUUAAACCAAAGCAUUUGUUCUCUGGGAAACGCUCCACUGGAAAAACUGAUAGACGCUAGAUAUUUAAGUUUCUUCUGCUUGGCUAUAUUUGCUUCUUCUGAAAUAGUGAGCAUUGUGCUAAUAUUUAGCAUGUCAACUGAAAAUAAUGUCGCGGAAUGGUGGGUUCUCUCUUGCAGAUGUAUUCAAAUACCUGGAAUUGUGUGCACUGUUUAGAAAGUAUGUUUUGUGUUGGACUUUGCAAUUACCAGAAGAGGGGGUAUUUUUUUUCCAGCUUUUUUAAUGUUUCAUGGGCAGCAGAAAAUUUUGAAGGCAUUCUCUGCAAAUUGUAUUGUCUGUGUUUUUUGAACCUUACUUUAUGAUGUUUUAAGGUGUAUCUUUGCGAGUUAUUGUUGAUCCCCUAAUAAGUUGUGAUAGAAUCACUUUCGCAGUUGA
RNA transcript from Tripterygium wilfordii, 2519 nucleotides. It is a transcript of the gene named nucleolar GTP-binding protein 1-like, with no coding region annotated. The record is from RefSeq and is a predicted model, not a curated record. Lineage: Eukaryota; Viridiplantae; Streptophyta; Magnoliopsida; Celastrales; Celastraceae. The transcript has 4 exons.